CUCAUGACAUCUGAAAAUAGAGAUAAUUUGAUUUCCCCUUUUCCAAUUUGGAUGCCUUGUAUUUCUUUCUCUUGCCUGAUUACUGUGUCCAGGACUGCCAGU
Long non-coding RNA from Sapajus apella (tufted capuchin), 102 nucleotides. RefSeq lists it as uncharacterized. The transcript is spliced from 3 exons. The record is from RefSeq and is a predicted model, not a curated record. NCBI's taxonomy places the organism in Eukaryota, Metazoa, Chordata, Mammalia, Primates, Cebidae.